GACGAACGCUGGCGGCGUGCCUAAUACAUGCAAGUCGAGCGCAGGAAACUGACGGAACUCUUCGGAGGGAAGGCAGUGGAAUGAGCGGCGGACGGGUGAGUAACACGUAAGGAACCCGCCUCAAGGAUUGGGAUAACUCCGAGAAAUCGGAGCUAAUACCGGAUAGUUCAACGGACCGCAUGGUCCGCUGAUGAAAGGCGCUCCGGCGUCACCUUGAGAUGGCCUUGCGGUGCAUUAGCUAGUUGGUGGGGUAACGGCCCACCAAGGCGACGAUGCAUAGCCGACCUGAGAGGGUGAGCGGCCACUCUGGGACUGAGACACGGCCCAGACUCCUACGGGAGGCAGCAGUAGGGAAUCUUCCACAAUGGACGAAAGUCUGAUGGAGCAACGCCGCGUGAGUGAUGAAGGUUUUCGGAUCGUAAAACUCUGUUGUAAGGGAAGAACACGUACGAGAGGAAAUGCUCGUACCUUGACGGUACCUUACGAGAAAGCCACGGCUAACUACGUGCCAGCCGCCGCCGUAA
Molecule: ribosomal RNA, 524 nt
Filed under: uncultured bacterium
Lineage: Bacteria
Description: partial 16S ribosomal RNA
Rfam family: Bacterial small subunit ribosomal RNA
Source: RNAcentral